Molecule: long non-coding RNA, 1046 nt
Organism: Oreochromis aureus
Lineage: Eukaryota; Metazoa; Chordata; Actinopteri; Cichliformes; Cichlidae
Exons: 3
Source: RefSeq, a predicted model, not a curated record
CACUGGACCCAUGUCUGCGUUUGUCUCAUGAAUCUCUGAAGGAGUCUUUGAUGGCCAGCAGGCCGGAGGCCAGGCGGAGUCCGCUCACCUUGCUGUGCCACUCCUGCGACCGACCCCUGGAAGAUAAAACACAGAGGAGGUGUGUCAGCGGGAAAAAGGUGGGACACAGGUCUUCACUAACAGACAAGAGACAUAUGAAGAAGAUGAAUCAGAUCCAGAAGUCAUGUGACCUGUGAGAGCAGAGAGCUUCGGAAAACUGUCAUCCAGCACGGAAAAAUGAGGAAGAAAAAGCACUUUUGAGCACCUCAAUGAGCAACCUGCCCUGUAUACUUUCAGAUAAACAGGCACAGGUGAAUUGUUGGUUAUUAGGGGUUAAAAUGGUACCUACAGAGACUGCAAAGCUACCAAAUUGGAUCGAUUAUUAAAAAACUGUAAGAUUUUUGAGAGACUUUGGUCUUUCUUACGAAAAAGUUGAGGCUACUUUAGUUUUACCUAAUUUUAUCACAACAGCAUUAAUGUCGUCACCUCAUAGAAUGCUAAGGAGGACAAAACGAUGCUCGGUUUUAUGUUUAAGGACACACAGGACGAGACGUGUCAGAAAAUCUACUCCAGGCAAGAUAUCAAAUAAACGAUUUGCAGUAAAUGAGCUAAAAGCUGCAAAACAAGCUGCUUAGGAGAGGAACAGCUCAGAGAAAUCUCCCAGUUCUUCUGAUCUUCAUCUUCUUUCAUUUUAGGCCAAAACCAAAGCAACACACACACACACACACACACACACACACACACACACACACACACACACACACACACACACACAGGCAGAGUGGACUCCACACCUCCAGCUCUUUAUGUAACUGCUGUUAAAACUUACAUAACUCUGACAAUGUGGGUCAGACGCCUCACGCCCUCCGUCUCUUUCCAUAUUGAGAUUGUGUGACUCCUCAUAGUUAGUGAAACGUCUGAUGUCAGUUUUUAAAAGGCGCUUAGAAGAAGCGAUGAGGUAACCGAUGCCCGCUGAUGCCCAGAAACACAUUUUAAGACCGUUUUCU